RNAcentral lists this ribosomal RNA (265 nucleotides) under uncultured prokaryote. Its description in RNAcentral is "partial 16S ribosomal RNA". It matches the Rfam family "Bacterial small subunit ribosomal RNA", at positions 524 to 788 of the family's 1533-position model. The record is from RNAcentral.
UACGUAGGGUGCGAGCGUUGUCCGGAAUUAUUGGGCGUAAAGAGCUUGUAGGCGGUUUGUCGCGUCUGCCGUGAAAAUCCGGGGCUCAACCCCGGACUUGCAGUGGGUACGGGCAGACUAGAGUGUGGUAGGGGAGACUGGAAUUCCUGGUGUAGCGGUGAAAUGCGCAGAUAUCAGGAGGAACACCGAUGGCGAAGGCAGGUCUCUGGGCCACUACUGACGCUGAGAAGCGAAAGCAUGGGGAGCGAACAGGAUUAGAUACCCU